UUUGUUUCAUGGCUAUUUCAACGGUUUUUGUUUCAUUUAAAUUUUGCUGUUUCAACUUUGAAAUGAGUCGAAACAAAACAGACAUCGAAAUUUUGCACAGCCCUAGUGCAUAGUAACAUGGAUAGUGAACAGACCUAUUGCUUUUACAAUCAUAAAAUUAAUUCUUAAAAUGUGAAUAUUUCUUCUUUUUUGUCCUCCUUUUUAUAGUCAGGUGUGUUAACAUGGCACAAAUUUCUUUGUACAAGUAUCUUUUUCACUGUUAUCAUUUGUUGUGAAUAACCUCAUGUCAGGUGGGCAAAGUUCUAGCUAAAGAAAAACACAGGUGUAUAUAAACUAAUUAAAACAGCUGAGAGUUGAUGAAGGGCAUUGUUGCUUCUCCAUAAUUAUUUUAUGGAGAAUUUCGCAAUGAGACCUUCAUUAAGAAAAUGUAAAUGUACCAUCUGAAUUUUACUAUUUUAAGAAUUUCACUUCAUUAAUAGUCUAACCUUAGAAAUUGAAAUGAAAUCCUCCCUCCAAAAGGUGUAUUUGAUACAAAUAAGAAAUGGGAAGAAGAUUGCUCUCUCUCUUGCUGUCAGAUUCCUGCAUUUUACAGAGAAGUCAAGUAACCCAAAGAAAACAAAUCUAAGAAACAUUUAAAGGAUAACUUUCAGUUUUAGGGGCUGAAAUUACACAGACUGCUAAAAUGGUGAUUCACCUGUGGAGGAUCACGCCUGGGUAUAUAAGAUUAUUGCAGACUCAAGCUGCGGGAAAAAUAGUUAUCAACACAACAGACAUAUUGAUGCAACGUACAGCUUUGCUAUUGGGAAUGUUUGGGAUCAGUGUUUCUGGCUACAGUACACACCGGCUAACUCAAGAAAAGAGACUUUGUUUGACCCUUUAAGCUGUGUUGGGAUACGACUCAAGAAAUGAGAGUUUACGUCGAUAGAGCUGAGUAAUGGUUUUUCUCUCCUUUAUCAGUUCGGAGUUUGAGAGACACUUCAGUCUAGAUUUCUAAAUGCAAACUUGAAAAGCCAGGGAACACACUGCAGAUCUCUGCAGGUGAAAUAAUGAGUGAUGACUGGGGGAGUUAUUAGAUGUGCAAGCAAAAUGUGAUGGAUUUCUUUGGAUAUACUGUGUGUACAUAGAGAGAAGAUUACAUGUAUGAUGUACAGUUAAAAUCAGAGUAAGUAUAAACAGAUGGAUGGGGGUGCCAUGCUUAAUUAGGGUCACCUUGUAAAAGCUCCUGAAAAUCAUGUCAAUACAAAUAUUUAUUCUGAAAGGGAAUGUUGGAAGCAUGUAUUUUCUUGACAAGACUUAGAGCAAACAGCAAAAUACCUCCCAUGAACCAUUAAUAUUGGACAUACACACAGAGAGGAAUAUACGUUAGACAUCUGUGUGCAUAUCAGAAUUGGCAGAAUCUGUCUUUUAUUGCUGUUGAUCUUUGGACUCUCUUUAUCUGAAAAUGUUCAUACAAUGUAACAUGUUUUAAUA
This 1470-nucleotide long non-coding RNA is filed under the name Crocodylus porosus (Australian saltwater crocodile). Its description in RNAcentral is "lncRNA (ENSCPRG00005009047.1)". The record is from RNAcentral. Lineage: Eukaryota; Metazoa; Chordata; Crocodylia; Crocodylidae.